AACAAUUCAUUUUAAUCUUCCCUCUAUUUUUCUCCCUAUGAAAUAUUUUCGCCUGGAUACAUUCACUCUAAAUUUCACAAUUAUAAUCUCUACUACAGAGAUGCACAAAAUUGAGUAGAUCCUCCCUCCCCUCUCAAGAUCGUCAGUACCCAUCUCAUCUUGCACUAUAGUCGGCCACUAUCACCCGUGUUGGGAUGUUACUUGAAAUCUCUUGAAGACGUACACUCUACACACAAACUCAAGAAGUAGUCACAUGUGAUGCUCAAUGAAAAAAGAUCUAAGAAUACGAAGUUGAAGAGAAUCAAGUUUGCUUCGAAGCGACAAUCCACAAUUGAUGUGGCUACUAAGUCACUGUCAGAUAGAUGCAACUUGCUGGAAUCAUCAAGAAUUGAACGUGCUUGUUUAGCGUUUUCAAGACACCAUAGAUAAUGACCGGUAUCAUCUGAUUCACGUGGGAAAAAAAUAACUAUUGAUAGAAUAAAUGUUUUGUUCUACCACAUCUAAAUAUGAUGGUGCCUUGGAGGCUAAAAUUGACACUGUAUGAAACUAGACUUGUAGAAGGAGAAACAACUAUUGUUGGAUUGGAACAAUAUAUUAUUUCGUUGAGUAGAUACUCCAAAUUUAUGUAUUAACAUUUUUUGGAUA
Nicotiana tabacum (common tobacco) is the source of this 645-nucleotide long non-coding RNA. RefSeq lists it as uncharacterized. The record is from RefSeq and is a predicted model, not a curated record. NCBI's taxonomy places the organism in Eukaryota, Viridiplantae, Streptophyta, Magnoliopsida, Solanales, Solanaceae.